Molecule: ribosomal RNA, 253 nt
Filed under: uncultured bacterium
Lineage: Bacteria
Description: partial 16S ribosomal RNA
Rfam family: Bacterial small subunit ribosomal RNA
Source: RNAcentral
UACAGAGGAGCCAAGCGUUGUCCGGAUUGACUGGGCGUAAAGCGCACGCAGGCGGCAUCGCGCGUGGGGUGUGAAAUCUGGCCGCUUAACGGCCAGGCGCCAUCCCAUACGGCGAGGCUGGAGCGAUGCAGAGGUCGGUGGAAUUGCCGGUGUAGCGGUGAAAUGCGUAGAUAUAGGAAGGAAUACCAGUGGCGAAGGCGGCCUCCUGGAUCGAUACUGACGCUGAGGCGCGAAAGCGUGGGGAGCAAACAGG